RNAcentral lists this long non-coding RNA (526 nucleotides) under Homo sapiens (human). RNAcentral's name for it is "HSALNT0157061". The record is from RNAcentral. Lineage: Eukaryota; Metazoa; Chordata; Mammalia; Primates; Hominidae.
GGGCCCCGGGCGGCGUUGACCAUGACCCAGCAGGGCGCGGCGCUGCAGAACUACAACAACGAGCUGGUCAAGUAUCCUGGAGAGCUCCCAGACUUUGCUCAGCGUUCUCAAGAGGGAAGCUGGGAACCUGACCAAGGCUACAGCCCCAGACCAGAAAAGUAGCGGCGGCAGGGACAGCUGACCAGACCACGGGCAGGGCCUGCCUCCGUGUGCCCCUCAGCUCAGCCCCAGCAAGUGUGUGCUCAGAGCAUCUUUGUUCUUCACGGCAGCAGCUACCUUCCCUCACUGUCUCAGGUGCCGAGAGGGGCAGGUGCCAGCCUCCACUGGCAUCAGUGACAAGCCCAGGGCACAGCCCACCCGGGGGUCCUCGCUUCAUGCUCACACAGGCUAUGGGGAUGGUGGGCUCCAGGUCAGCUCUGCAAGGGGCUUGUCUCUGUGGCACCCACACUCCUGCCCUGCCAGGGAGGCUCUGGUUGUCUGAGCACCAUGGGGGCCCCCUCACCUUGUCCCUCCUCAGCCAGCAGAG